ACAGUUUCACCAUGUUGCCAAUCCUGGCUCCCUACCUUAACCCAGUCCUGGUUCCUGUUCUGAUAGAUGCUCAACAUCAGUUGAUAUUCAGACUGGGAUUGUCGCCCAUUCAUUCAUUCAUUCAUUCACCCACACACAUGCACAGAGUCACUGCUUCCACCACCCCUUGUGGUUCCCGAUGCUGCAGCACAGGGAUGAGGCUCCUGCUUCCAGGUCUUCUAUUUGAAUAGAGGAGCCAGUAAGUAGAGAAACACAUUUUUAAAAAGUAAACAAAUAGGACUUACUCACUUUACCUCUUUACUUUCUUUUAAAAUUAUUGAAUUUUUUAAGAGACAGUGUCUCAUGGUCACCCAUCCUGGGGUGCAUGAUCAUAGCUCACUGGAGUCUUGACCUCAUGGGCUCAAAUGAUCCUCUCACCUCAGCCUCCCAACAUGCUGGGAUUAAAGGCAUAAGCCAUUUUGCCUGGUCUGACUUUACAUCUUAAAUAUAUGUGAAAUAACUUAUCUUUUCCCUCUCCACUGCCAGAACCAUGGUUCACACUGCUGUUACCUCCAUCUGGACCAAGAGCCCCACACAGCUCUUCCUGCUUCACUUCUCUACCCCAGUCCCCCCAGGCCCCGCCAGCAUUCUCCAGAAAGCAGCCAGCAUGGUCUUUUCAAAUAUCCAUCAGAUUACAUUGCUCCCUGCUAAAAGCCAUUACAUGGCAUCCAUCUCACUAAAAUUACUUUCAGAUUCCUUAUCUCGCUCUGGAAGGCUUUCCAUGGUUUCUGCUCAUUUCAUCACCACUCUCCAUGUCCUCAUGCCCUGCACACAGUGUCUCUGCUCCAGAAACAUUUCCCAGUUCGUCCUCAGCUCUGAGUCUUCCCUUCUGUUUCUUUUCUUGGGAAUGUUCUUCCCCCAGAUCAUUGCAAGGUUGGCUAAUGGAGGUCUUCUCUGACCACCCGAUCUGGAGCCCAGUCCUUCGCCACCAUUACCCAUUCUUCUUUAUAGGGUUUACCACAAUCUAAAAUGAUCUCAUUUGCGUGUUCAGGUGCCUGCCUCCUGCCCGUUCCUCAGCAGACUAUCUGCUCUAUUGGGGCAGGUGUCUCACUCACUGGCUCACUACCAAGUGCACCCUCUUCUAGAACAGUGAUGACUGGUACAUAGUGAGUACUCACUACUGAAAAUUAAUAAAUGCAUUAAUCCUUUCAAAGGAAAAGUAAGAAGGGUAUUGGAUACUAAGUUAAACCCCUGGUUUUACUCAAUUAUUCAACGUUUUCUCAGGAAGUAGUGUAUGUGCUCUUAGCUUAAUAAUUCCAUCAUUUGGUCUCUUCUCUCUACUGGCUUUAAUCCUGAUUCUCUCCAAGGCCAGAUGUUACAGUACAGAGCAGCUCUUCUCUGUGAUGAAGGGAGAGGAAAUAAAACAAUCUGGCCAGCUAAUUCUAGGGUUAUAGACACAGAAGCAUGAAUAUUUAGAUUCCAGGCAUUUCAGCUGACAGAAACAUUUUAUAUCAGUUCUAAUGAAAAGGAUUGACUAGGUUUCACUUAUUGCUUGCUAACUGGAAUUUUGUUAGGCACAAUUACAUAAUGCAGAAGUAUUUGAGCUGUGCCUACCCACAUUAGAAUCCUAAACUAGGUUUCAAAGGGACUACAUUCCAUUUUAAAGAAAUUCCUAGUACUGCUAACUUUCCUGGAAAUAAAAGCUAUCCCUCCCUAAGACUGACAUUUUUAUGGCCAGAAAUGUACAUUUAAUCUAUUUGUUUUAAACUCUAAUAUAUUAUGGAUGCCUAAAUAAAGCCAAAUGCCUAUCAGAAAGCAGUUGAGAAAAGAAAAUCUGCCUAGAAAACUAUUCUUAUGAUCUCUGCUGGGUAAGAAUAAAAAAGUACCACCCAAGACAGGCAAGACCACACUCCCAUGGUCAAAUGUAAGGACAGAAAAUGAGCCACAACUCGCACUGUAGCCCCUGAAAAAAAAAUUAUCGAUAGGUCCAAAUGCCUCUUCUAAAAAUGCUGACUCACUGAAAAUUAUUGCCAUUUAAUAAAUAGGAAGCAAGCUAUUACAUCGUUUGCCAAACUUUCUCCCACAUUUCUGAAAUAUAUUCUUUAAUAGCUCAAUAACAUUCAGGAGCACUAGAGGCCCGUUAAAUUCAUCUAAAAAGGAAGGACAAGAUUUCUGCCUCACCCAGCACAUCUGCGUUGGGUGGGUAUGCUAAGAAAACAGGAAUCAAGGUGGCUAUCACCUCUCCACUAGACAGUUCCCCAAAUCCAGCCUAGACGGAAAGCACUUUUUUUCCCAGGCAGCCUCCAGGAAUACGGAAUACUUUUGGGAGGAGAAGAGCCAUGGACGGGUGAGUCCUUACCCCAGGAUGCACAAACACCACAGCAAGACACCAAUGACUGCCGGAAGUUCGGCGGUUCCUCCUUCUCUGGAGCAGCAGGCCCAGACUUCACCCGGUAGCCAUUAUGGAACAGGUCCCCCAGGGACUUCUUGCGGCGCCUGCCGGGUCUGUAAAGCUCUGUGCCAGUUCUGCUGGAUGGGUGGUGGUACACCAGAAUCUUACUGGGGAUCAUGGUAGAAGGAGGGAGAUGGGCUAGGCUUUCGGCUCCCUUCCGUUCACUUCUUGCAGGAGCCAAUGCUCUGGAAAGACCUGGAGGAGCCUGUGUUCCUCUGACCCGUGCUGCAAACAGGUCCUCCUGUCCAGCGCAGUGUGGGUCACCAGCAUCUAUGUCCUGGUGGAGCCAAUAGACACUCUCUCCUCCCUCACCCUCCAGUCCCUCUUGCAAGAACCCCGGCAUGCUCUGGGCACUGGAUGCACACAGCCACAUCAGAAAGGGGGUUAAGAGGGGCGGGGGAAGCGCUCUGAUCCACGAUGUCCUGCGAGCUGAUCAAUCAGCUUCACGCUGGAAAUAACCAUAUAAAAACCUGAACUCAAAGAAGAGAACUGGAAUAAUCCUCCCUAAUCCCACUUCCCAUGGUGAGCCCCAGCUGGGACGCUGACACAUGGCCCCAACUUUUUCUCCUGCCUGAUGUCUGGACCCACAGGGGACAGAUGGUGGUCCCUGGUCACUGAAGUACCCACAGAACCCAUGCAAGAGGCACAAAACCAUCUGCUUAGUGGUCAUGUGGCAGCAGACAGUAUCUCAGAAGUCCUCGCAGCAUAUGACUUCACUGAUGAAGAUGGAUCACACUUGAGCAGGGAUUCUUGAUCUCUGCAAAACUGCUCAUACACAACAGGAACAAUCUCACAGAUAAGAAAAACUCCAGAAGUUGGUCUCGGGCUAUGAAAAUUUCUGCCACAAUAUGAUUUAUGUGAAAAUAAAUAAAGUGGGUCUACUACUUUA
Pan troglodytes (chimpanzee) is the source of this 3320-nucleotide long non-coding RNA. RefSeq lists it as uncharacterized. NCBI's taxonomy places the organism in Eukaryota, Metazoa, Chordata, Mammalia, Primates, Hominidae. The record is from RefSeq and is a predicted model, not a curated record. The transcript is spliced from 3 exons.